RNAcentral lists this unclassified non-coding RNA (303 nucleotides) under plant metagenome. RNAcentral describes it as "partial contains 5.8S ribosomal RNA, internal transcribed spacer 2, and large subunit ribosomal RNA". The stretch from base 1 to 105 matches the Rfam family "5.8S ribosomal RNA", at positions 50 to 154 of the family's 154-position model. The record is from RNAcentral.
GAAAUGCGAUAAGUAAUGUGAAUUGCAGAAUUCAGUGAAUCAUCGAAUCUUUGAACGCACAUUGCGCCCGCCAGUAUUCUGGCGGGCAUGCCUGUUCGAGCGUCAUUUCAACCAUCAAGCCCCCGGCUUGUGUUGGGGACCUGCGGCUGCCCGCAGGCCCUGAAAACCAGUGGCGGGCUCGCUGUCACACCGAGCGUAGCAGCAUACAUCUCGCUCAGGGCGUGCUGCGGGUUCCGGCCGUUAAAAGCCUUUUUUACCCAAGGUUGACCUCGGAUCAGGUAGGAAGACCCGCUGAACUUAAGC